Long non-coding RNA from Ricinus communis (castor bean), 204 nucleotides. RefSeq lists it as uncharacterized. The transcript is spliced from 2 exons. Lineage: Eukaryota; Viridiplantae; Streptophyta; Magnoliopsida; Malpighiales; Euphorbiaceae. The record is from RefSeq and is a predicted model, not a curated record.
ACCUGUAGCAUAAUGUCAAUAAAGCUCUUAGGAGGGAAAAGGGCAUAGAAGGGAAUUUAGCCAUCAAGUUCAAAAUUCAUCAUGACAAACUCUCACCAGCCUGUGGCACCAUGUGCAAUGAUCAUGUUAGCCAAAACCAAGUGUAGCUCAGCGAUUUCAUUAUUAAUUGAACAAUCAUCAAAGCAGAGGAAGUUCAAUAGCAAA